Molecule: ribosomal RNA, 404 nt
Filed under: uncultured bacterium
Lineage: Bacteria
Description: bacterial SSU rRNA
Rfam family: Bacterial small subunit ribosomal RNA
Source: RNAcentral
GCGGCGGACGGGUGAGUAACGCGUGGGUAACCUGCUCAUACACAUGGAUAACAUACCGAAAGGUAUGCUAAUACAGGAUAAUAUAAGAGAUUCACAUGGAUUCUUAUCAAAGCUCCGGCGGUAUGAGAUGGACCCGCGUCUGAUUAGCUAGUUGGUAAGGUAAUGGCUUACCAAGGCGACGAUCAGUAGCCGACCUGAGAGGGUGAUCGGCCACAUUGGAACUGAGACACGGUCCAAACUCCUACGGGAGGCAGCAGUGGGGAAUAUUGCACAAUGGGCGAAAGCCUGAUGCCAGCAACGCCGCGUGAGUGAUGAAGGCCUUCGGGUCGUAAAACUCUGUCCUCAAGGAAGAUAAUGACGGUACUUGAGGAGGAAGCCCCGGCUAACUACGUGCCAGCCGCAGC